This 246-nucleotide ribosomal RNA is filed under the name uncultured bacterium. RNAcentral's name for it is "partial small subunit ribosomal RNA". It matches the Rfam family "Bacterial small subunit ribosomal RNA", at positions 26 to 286 of the family's 1533-position model. The record is from RNAcentral.
AGAAUCAACGCUGGCGGCGUGCCUAACACAUGCAAGUCGAACGAGAAAGUGGAGCAAUCCACGAGUAAAGUGGCGCACGGGUGAGUAACACGUGACUAACCUACCCUUGAGUGGGGGAUAACCUAGGGAAACCUGGGCUAAUACCGCAUAAUACCUUCGGGUCAAAGGAGCAAUUCGCUUAAGGAGGGGGUCGCGGCCGAUUAGUUAGUUGGCGGGGUAAUGGCCCACCAAGACUAUGAUCGGUAU